GUUGAGAAGCUCGCGGUCUCCCUCACCUCUACAACGAAUAGUCCAUAGACAGAGUAAAAGCAAAUAGGCAGUUUGGCUGGGAGCUGUGAACUCUGAUGCAGCAACUGGUUAAACACUUGAACCUAAACACCAUGAUGAUUAUGUUGACGAUUCCUUGCUGGUCAUGUACGAGGAGCACUGAUCAAUUGCUGAAGGUGAUCGAGCAGAUAGUUUUCCAAUAGAGCAAACUGAUGUGAUCUUCUGGAUUAUCUCCGAAAACAAAGUUACUUCUU
This is a long non-coding RNA of Lolium rigidum, 272 nucleotides long. RefSeq lists it as uncharacterized. The transcript is spliced from 2 exons. NCBI's taxonomy places the organism in Eukaryota, Viridiplantae, Streptophyta, Magnoliopsida, Poales, Poaceae. The record is from RefSeq and is a predicted model, not a curated record.